UACGUAGGGGGCGAGCGUUGUCCGGAUUUAUUGGGCGUAAAGGGCGUGUAGGCGGCCUGGUAAGUCGGGGGUGAAAACCCAGGGCUCAACCCUGGGACUGCCUUCGAUACUGUUAGGCUUGAGUGCUCUAGAGGGUAGUGGAAUUGCCGGUGUAGCAGUGAAAUGCGUAGAGAUCGGCAGGAACACCAGUGGCGAAGGCGACUGCCUGGGGAGUAACUGACGCUGAGGCGCGAAAGCUGGGGGAGCAAACGGG
This 253-nucleotide ribosomal RNA is filed under the name uncultured bacterium. RNAcentral's name for it is "partial 16S ribosomal RNA". It matches the Rfam family "Bacterial small subunit ribosomal RNA", at positions 524 to 776 of the family's 1533-position model. The record is from RNAcentral.